UCACCACUGCGGGAGCUUAGCUCGCUGACGAUGUAAGUGAACUAUUCAUUUCGUAUUUUUUAUGUAUAUGUGACCUUGUGUUUAUUAAAUGAAUAACUCAUCUUUUUUGGUGUUUCCUGCUGCAGCACAUCAAUCUAGCCAUGGACUUGCUGCGAGAUCGAGCUCAAAGACAUCCAAAAUCAUUUGAUGUCCAUGGUCGAGUCAUAUUAAACACCGAGUUCCUGCGUGCCGUUACCAUAGAGUAUCAGUCGCUCGAACUUAUGGGUAACAAGUACACGGUGCCAGAAUAUAUGCUCGAGUGGGUGAUAGGACUGUCACCGAGUGUCGGGGGAAAAUCAUGGGAGGAUUGUA
Molecule: long non-coding RNA, 351 nt
Filed under: Olea europaea (common olive)
Lineage: Eukaryota; Viridiplantae; Streptophyta; Magnoliopsida; Lamiales; Oleaceae
Description: long non-coding RNA (OEUR_LNC004034)
Source: RNAcentral